AUUGAACGCUGGCGGUAUGCCUAACACAUGCAAGUCGAACGGCAGCACGGUAGAGACUUCGGUUUUUAUGGGUGGCGAGUGGCGGACGGGUGAGUAAUAGGUAGGAAUCUGUCCUGGAGAGGGGGAUAACUUGCGGAAACGCGAGCUAAUACCCCAUGAUAUUGAGAGAUCAAAAGCAGGGGACCAGCAAUGGCCUUGCGCUCUAGGGUGAGCCUACGUCGGAUUAGCUAGUUGGUGGGGUAAAGGCCUACCAAGGCGACGAUCCGUAGCUGGUCUGAGAGGAUGACCAGCCACACUGGGACUGAGACACGGCCCAGGCUCCUACGGGAGGCAGCAGUGGGGAAUCUUGGACAAUGGGGGGAAACCCUGAUCCAGCGAUACCGCGUGUGUGAAGAAGGCCUUCGGGUUGUAAAGCACUUUAGGUGGGGAAGAAAAGUAGGCUAUGAAUAAUGGUCUAAUCUGACGGUACCCACAGAAUAAGCACCGGCUAACUCUGUGCCAGCAGCCGCCGUAA
Molecule: ribosomal RNA, 514 nt
Filed under: uncultured bacterium
Lineage: Bacteria
Description: partial 16S ribosomal RNA
Rfam family: Bacterial small subunit ribosomal RNA
Source: RNAcentral